This 391-nucleotide long non-coding RNA is filed under the name Physcomitrium patens. RNAcentral describes it as "long non-coding RNA (PPAT_LNC012896)". Lineage: Eukaryota; Viridiplantae; Streptophyta; Bryopsida; Funariales; Funariaceae. The record is from RNAcentral.
CUCUAUUUCCAAUAUCUGAAUACACAAGGAAACUAUAAUCUCCUCCUUCACCUUAUCGGUCUCUUCCUAACAAUAAUUCAAUCAUACCAAUAACUGCUAUUUCUACCAAUAUAUUCACCCUCAUAAUCUCCAACUGUAAUACUACGCCCUCACAGCUUUCAGCACAUAAUUACCCUCAUUCCAAUCACUAGAAUUCUUCACACAAAACCACCAUUUAUAUUAUGGUAUUUCACACAAACACAGACUCAUUCUCUCUGCUAAACUACAAUCAGAUUUCAGCAUUCAAUCUUUCUUCUUUUCAAAUAAUACCAAUCACAUUUCCAUUCUAUAAUUCACUUCACAAUAUUCAAAAACUCUCAAUCCUCUUAUUCAAAGAAAAUAACAAACAAAA